RNAcentral lists this ribosomal RNA (250 nucleotides) under uncultured bacterium. RNAcentral describes it as "partial 16S ribosomal RNA". It matches the Rfam family "Bacterial small subunit ribosomal RNA", at positions 524 to 773 of the family's 1533-position model. The record is from RNAcentral.
UACAGAGAGUGCAAGCGUUAAUCGGAAUUACUGGGCGUAAAGCGCGCGUAGGUGGACAUUUAAGUCGGAUGUGAAAUACCUGGGCUUAACCUGGGAAUUGCAUUCGAUACUGAAUGUCUAGAGUAUGGUAGAGGGAAGUGGAAUUUCCGGUGUAGCGGUGAAAUGCGUAGAUAUCGGAAAGAACACCAGUGGCGAAGGCGACUUCCUGGACCAAUACUGACACUUUAGCGCGAAAGCGUGGGGAGCAAAC